This 406-nucleotide ribosomal RNA is filed under the name uncultured bacterium. RNAcentral's name for it is "partial 16S ribosomal RNA". It matches the Rfam family "Bacterial small subunit ribosomal RNA", at positions 30 to 526 of the family's 1533-position model. The record is from RNAcentral.
AUUGAACGCUGGCGGCAGGCUUAACACAUGCAAGUCGAACGAGUGGCGGACGGGUGAGUAAUGUCUGGGAAACUGCCUGAUGGAGGGGGAUAACUACUGGAAACGGUAGCUAAUACCGCAUACCAUCAGAUGUGCCCAGAUGGGAUUAGCUAGUUGGUGGGGUAACGGCUCACCAAGGCGACGAUCCCUAGCUGGUCUGAGAGGAUGACCAGCCACACUGGGACUGGGACACGGUCCAGACUCCUACGGGAGGCAGCAGUGGGGAAUAUGGCACAAUGGGGGCAAACCUGAUGCAGCCAUGCCGCGUGUAUGAAGAAGGCCUUCGGGUUGUAAAGUACUUUCGGCAGAGAAGCGUUACCCGCAGAAGAAGCACCGGCUAACUCCGUGCCAGCAGCCGCGGUAAUUC